GAAGAGUUAGUUUUGGGUUGGUUUAUCCCAUUUUAAUCUUGUUGUCCAUUUUUUUUAGUUUUUGGCCCAAUUUUAAGGCCCAAUAGUACCAAACUCAUACCCCUUUAACCUAAAAACUCUUUCUAUAUAACCAAAAAAGAAGCCUAAUUUCCUAGACCCUAGGGACCUAAGAGAUAAAAAACAACCUAAGAGACUAAAUCCGUCGCAGUACAAGGAAACCCCCCACCCCCUGACCUCGUCUUCUUCAUAGACCCCACCCCAAAGGACCCUCUGUUCAUGACACAAAAAUCCGCCGCUUGACACCCAAAUAGCCCCUCGUUCUUCAUCUUCUUCAACACUAGCAGAGAACCAGUGAACUCGAAACCGCCUUAGACCUCCACCAAAUCGUCGGAUCUCCACUCCAAGAACCCCAUCUCCCAGCGAAAAACACCCAAACUCAAAAAGCUCAGCUCACCAUCUUCGCCGAAAACCAGCGAUCACCCGGCUCGAUCUCUGGAACAGCCGCUAGGGAUGGCCUCUUCUUCAUCUUUGCACCCCAACCCUCUCAUCUUACUACCCAAAGACACACACGAAAACGCACAGAGGCAGAUGAAAAAUAAAUAAAAAAUAAGGUUUGAAAGUAGUCGAGUUUUGUUACAGUUGUUGGAGUCGAUAAUAUCUUUCGAAAAAACGGUUCAAUAAAGAAAAGUUUUUGUCGCGUUCCGAUCCAGCUUGAGUUCAGUCGAGUUCGAUUGCUGCCCAUGUCGAGGUUGCCGUGCAAGAAGCCGGUCUGAGAUUUUUCAUCCUCUUGGAUUUUUGGUGUUUAACAAUAUCAAUUGAGGUCCUCUCUAACCUUUCAAUGUUACUACUUUUAUGAAGACAUAUUUUCCCUUUUUCGUAAUAUUCUCUUGGAUUUGUGCGAAAUUGUCUUCUGCUAGUGUUCCUCUGAUUUUAUGUGAAUUGUGGUUGGAUUACUGGGUUCCUUUCUGAUUUUGGCAAUUGCUUCCAUGUGCUCCAAGUUGAAAUCAACAACUCAUACUUUGGUUAGUCUUAACUGUUCUCAUUAGGCAUAUCAAUUUGUCUAGAGCUUGCAAUAUUUGUGUUGGUAAUUAUAAAUCGUGAAUUGGGUCUCACUUGAAAGUAAAAGUUAUGGAGUUUGAGUUGUUAAAGGUCUAUAAGGUUUGGCAUUGAGAAUGGUAUUAAAAAUGGGUCGUAUGAGUUAAUACAAGGUUUAUUGAGCAUUGGGGUCUGCGCUUUUAUUGAUACAGGAUAAUGAGAUUUAGCUAUGACAUCCUUUUUUCAUUUGCUUCAUUCUUUUCAGUUGAUUAUUUGGAAUUUUAAUUUAUUUUGUUUCAAUUGUUCUCACCCGUAUGUUUCUCUUAGUUAGUAUUUGGGUUAAUUGAACAAAUAAAAUUUAGUCUCCAAUAUCCAUGUCCAAAGAAGUUGUUCUGCCGGACCCAAUUUUUAAGAGCCAAACUGGUCGUUUUUCAUUAAAUGCAAAGCUGGCCGAAAAAUGAUAAUAAGGCUACAAGUCAGCCCGUAAUUUCUUCUACAACAAAUUCCAUAACCCAUGGCCUUCACAAUAAUCUCAAAGUUUAGGAAGAAUAAUUAUAUUCGUAGUUUGCUUUAGGCACGUUUAAUAUACUAUCGUGGUUGUGUACACGUUCGCGUGACAAGAUUACGAUCUUAAAAAUAAAAUUGGGGUAUGCGUUCAACUUCGACCAAAUAUUUCUUAAUAAUAAUAAAGCGUUAUUAUUGUGGACACGUUCGCGUGACAUGAUUUUUGACGCGCCAAACAAAUAAGUACACGUACGUGUGACUCGUUUUUCUAGAUAACUCCCUAUUUAGGAAUAAUUAAGCAAAUAAAAGCGGUAAGAGGUAAAUGCACAUAGGUUUAAAAAUAAGUAAUUAGACAAUUUAAUUAAGCCAAGUAUGAUCAAAGCGACCGUGCUAGAACCACGGAACUCGGGAAUGCCUAACACCUUCUCUCGGGUUAACAGAAUUACUUACCCAGAUUUCUAUGUUCGCAGACCAUAAAUAAGAGUCAACUUCCUUGAUUCAGGAUUAAAAUCGAUGACUUGGGACACCAUAAAUUAUCCCAAGUGGCUACUCUGAAUUUAAAAUAAAUAAUCCCGUUUCGAUUGUCAUUUAAAUUGGCAAAAACUCCCUUAUACCUCCUUCCGGGGGUAGUAAAGAGUAGGUGUAACAUCAAGUACAUCAUAAGGGUCACGGAAAAGAAACCAAGAAGCACGAUAACCUCAAUAAAAUAACAAGACAUAAUAAGCACGUGAUAGUACACCAGUAACCUCAACAAUUGGACAUGUAACAUAUUUUCACGAAGUCAUAGAAGAACUCACAAUCAAGAAGUAUCCAAAAUAAUAAGGGAGGCAAUCACUUCAAUUAAGGCAAUUAAGGGUCACGAUAACACGUAGGAAUUAGAGGAAAGUUAACAACAUCAUAUGAAGCAUAUAGAGGCAAUUCAAGCAAUUAUUAAACUCAAUCAUAACAGGAUACUUUCCACAUAAUAGACAUAAGGACCUAAGAACCCUAGAGGCAAAUUUCCCACAAAUAAAUCCGAGCACACACUCGUUACCUCGCGUGCACGGACUAUAAUUAGCAUAGAAGACUCAAAUCCUAAGGGGAAGUCCCCCACACAAGGUUAGGCAAUAUACUUACCUCAAUUCGGCCAAUUCAAUACUCAAUUUAGCUUUUCCUUUACCAAUUCAUCAACGCUCGGCUCAAUCUAGCCAUAAACGACUUGAAUACAUCAAAUAAUACAAGAGAAAACAAUUUCAAUUAACAAAACUAUGAUUCUUAUACAAUUUGCAAAAAGUCAAUAAAAGUCAACUACCUGGGCCCGCACUUCGGAACCCGACAAAAUUUACAAAAAUCGAACACCAUUUCGCUAUGAGUUCAGCCAUACAAAAAUUAUCUAAUUCUGAUACCAUUUGGUCAUUCAAAUCAUCAUUUUACAUUUUUGAAAGAUUUCACAAUUUUCCCCAAAUUAUUCCUUAGAUUCUCAUGAAUUUGAUGUUAAAUAUAAGAUAUAAUCACAAAAUAUAACCGAAAAUUGAUUAGAAACACUUACCCAAUGAUUUGGAGAAGUUUGGUCUUUGGAAAAUCGCCCAUGGAGGUUUAGGGUUUGAGAAAAUUGAAAAAUGGGUGAAAAUCUUGUCAAAAACCUCAUUUAACAGGCCUCAGAUGUCGCAUUUGCGACCCAGGGUUCGCAGUUGCAACCCCUCGCAAGUUCCGAACAAAGCAGGGCUGGCAGAAGUCACAUUUGCAAGAAAAAGUUCGCAUUUGCGAACUGGGCAUCGCAAAUGUGAUGAAAAAGUUCGCAUUUACGAACACACCAAAAACCAUCAAUUUUUUCUGACACGAAAAUGAGCAUAACUUCCUCAUACGAUGUCCAAAUUCGAUGAUUAUUUUUCCUAUGGCUCUGUAAUUUCGAUACGCAUCUAAUGGUUUAAACAAAACUGAAUUUAGAUCUCAUUUGCUCAAUGUAGUAUUAUUUUUUCUUGAAGAAACGACGAUGAGGCAUCCAAAAACAAGCAUAACAUAGCCUAAACCUAUUCGAAACUCACCCAAGCCCUCGAGGCUCCAAACCAAAUAUGCACGCAAGUCUAAAAAUAUUAUACAGACUUGUUCGUAUGAUCAAAUCAUCAAAUAACAUCAAAAACUAUGAAUUUAACCUCAAAACUAAUGAUUUUCUCAAGGACACUCAAAUUUUUUAAUUUUUCAACCGGACGUUCAAAUCACGUCAAAUCAAUUCUGGUUCUCACCAAAUUUUACCGAUAGGAAUUAACUAUUAUAACAAACUUGUACCGAAUUCCGAAACCAAAAUAUGGGCCUGAUACCAACGAGUUCAAAUAUUAAUUUAUUUUUUUAUUUCCUUUAAAAACCAGCACAACAAUUUUCUUCAAAAAUUAUUUUCUAAGGCUAGGGACCUCGGAAUUCAAUUCCGGGCAUACACCCAAGUCCCAUAUUUUACCGUGGACCUCCCGGGCUUGUCGGAACAUAGAUCCGGAUCCGUUUACCAAAAAUACUAAACAAAGUCAACUAAAACCAAAUUUUAACUCUAGAAAUUAUUAUAUUUUUCAUAUUUUCACAUAAAAACUUUCCAGUUUCACGCCCGAACUGCGCACGCAAGUCGAUACACACAAUAUGAAGCUGCUCGUGAUCUCAAACUGCCGAACCGGAUGCAAUUGCUCAAAAUGACCAGUUGGGUCAUUACAUCCUCCUCCACUUAAACAUACGUUCGUCCUCGAACGCGCCCGGAGUCAUUCCAAAGCCAUCGAACAACUGCAUGAGCUCCUCAUACAUACACCCGGGGGUGAUUCCCCAUCAUCUAACCUAUGCAGAACUGACAAUGCAACUUAACUAAAGGUCUCAUCUCCUCCUUAGUCCAUAGCCUUAGAACAGGACCCAAACCUCAACAUCCGAAAUUCAUCAUAGGACCCGAAUUCCACAUCAUCAGACUGAACACACCGAAACAGGCUGAAUCGAGCCAAAAAUUCCAAUCCAAAAUACAAUCACAUGUUGUUCCACACAACUCACAUACUCGAAGCAAUAACCUCUGACCACCAUAGCUGCUCAAAUAACAUCUUGGAUGUCGGCAAUAUACUUCACAUUGAAUACAACCUUGUUCUGGACUUCCACAACACUACAUGUUAUAAAGAGACAUGCGAAAAUUCAUAGCCUCCCAAAAAGUCAACAAGUCACGAAGCUCUCCCGCCCGCCAAGGUCCAUUACCCAAAUCUUAGUAGAAACACCCUCUCACUUCCAAACACUCCCCACCCCCAAUACCAUAGCACUAAACUCAGGUCUAAGAACCUCAUCUCAGCCAAUACAAGCAAUCCAACUAACAACUCAUCACGGAACCACAUAGAUUAUUACACUACACAAUUCGUACACCAAAUCAGCAAUAACUCAAUUAUGCAGUACAAAUAAAGGAAAAUAAAUUAGAAGAAUUAUCUAACAAGUUCAACAUGCGUGACAACAAAAGUAUAGGUUUUUCAUCAAAUCUUCCCACAGAGGGAAGACACAACACCAAAUAAACACAAGGAAAUGGUAUCCCACAUAACAUCCACUGCGGCGUGCAGCCCUGUAACGACCUGGUCAUUCGUUCUGAGAGUUAUAGCCCCAUUUACCCAUCUAUGCUUAUUUAUGUGUUGUUUAGCUGUGUUGAGUUGUAUCGAGUUGGUAGGCUUGAGUUUUAGAGAGUUUUAGGUAGGAAUUUGAGGGACCAAACAGAGUUCGAUUUUGAUAAAUUUUAUAUGGUUAGACUUGGGAGAGGACGAGGGUUUUGAUUCUGCCAUUGUUGAUUGGUUUCGAGAUGUGGGCCCAGGGGACGAGUUUUGGCUGAUUUCGGAUUUUUUGCCUAUUUUUGUAGUUUUUAUUGUGGAAUUUGAUUCUCUAGCCAUGUUAAUGGUAUUAAUCUGAUUAUGGUUAGAUUCGAGCUUUUGGAGACCGAGUCCAGAGACAAGGGCAUCCCGGAGUAGGAUUUUAUGCUGUUGAGGUAAGUAACAGUUUUAACUCUGGCUUUGAGGGUAUAAACCCGGAGAAUUUGAUAUCAUGUGAUUGUUUGGAGGUGAUACCCACACUAGGUGAUGGGCGUGUGGGUGUAUACCUCGAGGGAUUGAGACUUGGUCCGUCCCGUGAGGCUGCGAGGCCUAAUAGCUAUUAUCUGUGGUUAUGUGUUUACUUGUUGUUGAACUUGUUUGCCUUCAUGUUAGAGAUCAUGCUUAGGCUUUAUUCAUGCUCACAUUAUUUGUACUCAGUCAUAGAAAUUAUUGUACAUGUUUAGCUCAGUCUCUAUUAUUUGUUAAUAUGCUGUGAUACUUGAUGUGGGAUGUGUCCCCUUAUUUGUUGAUGAUGGUGAGGCUAGUGAGGUACAUGAUUGAGUAAGGCCGAGGGCCUGGUUGUGAGAAUAUUAAUACCAUAGCGCGUGAGUUAUCCAGGUAGCACGUGAGUUGACCGUGUAGGUCCAGGUAUUUAUACCAUAGCGCGUGAGUUGUCCGCGUAGCACGUGAGUUGACCGUGCGGAUCCAGGUAUUGAUAUGAUGGCCUGGUUGUGAGGAUAUUAAUAUCAUAGCGCGUGAGUUGUUCGCGUAGCACGUGAAUUGACUGUGCAGGUUCAGGUAUUUAUACCAUAGCGUGUGAGUUGUCCGCGUAGCACGUGAGUUGACCGUGUGGAUCCAGAUAUUGAUAUGGUAGCACGUGAGUUGUCCGUGCUUAGCGCUUGGGCUUUGGGAGCCCCUCCGGAGUCUGUACACACCCCCAGUGAGCGCAGAGUAUUGAGUGUUGAGUGCGAGUGCUGAGUGAUGGAGUGACAUUGCUAUGAAGUUGCAUUUACUUUUGUUGUUGCUGCAUUUAUCUGUUAAAUUUCUUUGUGGUAUUUACUGAGUUAUGGAAUUUACCUGUUUAUUCAUGUGUUAUUUUUUUAAAAUUGUGAAAAUAAAUAAUUGGACUGUUUUACUUAGCUCAUCACUACUGCUCAGUUCCUUAGUUAUUUCAUUUACUACUGAGGUGGUUGUACUCAUACUACACCCUGCACUUUAUGUACAGAUCCAGAUGAGUUAGAGCCCGGCGAUCGUUGAGUUCAGACCGACUAUCUGUGGAGAUUGCAAGGUAGCUGCUAGUGUCUGCAGGACCUUGUUACUCCUUUUAUCAUUUCUUAUUUUGGACAGUUAGAUAAUUUCUAUAUCUUAGUUCAUAGUUUUAGACGCUCAUGACUUAAUGACACCCCAAUGUUUGGGGCUCGUUUCCAUAUUUUAUAUUAAUUAUAUUUAGAGUUGAUUUAGUUUAUGAGAAAUUCAAAUGUUG
Molecule: long non-coding RNA, 6804 nt
Filed under: Nicotiana tabacum (common tobacco)
Lineage: Eukaryota; Viridiplantae; Streptophyta; Magnoliopsida; Solanales; Solanaceae
Description: long non-coding RNA (NTAB_LNC019150)
Source: RNAcentral